RNAcentral lists this small nucleolar RNA (132 nucleotides) under Castor canadensis (American beaver). RNAcentral describes it as "Small nucleolar RNA SNORA51 (ENSCCNG00000026006.1)". It matches the Rfam family "Small nucleolar RNA SNORA51". From Rfam's summary of the family: ACA51 is a member of the H/ACA class of snoRNA that guide the sites of modification of uridines to pseudouridines. Lineage: Eukaryota; Metazoa; Chordata; Mammalia; Rodentia; Castoridae. The record is from Rfam by way of RNAcentral.
GGCCUUCCAGCACUUACCACAGGCUGUGCUCUUACACUGCCUAUACAGAUAGAGGAAGCAAAGUAAACCCAUCCCAUAUACACCUCAGCCCAGGUUCUGUGCCUGGUCAGUAUUGUGAAUGGGAAGACAUGG